Molecule: ribosomal RNA, 1225 nt
Filed under: human gut metagenome
Description: bacterial LSU rRNA
Rfam family: Bacterial large subunit ribosomal RNA
Source: RNAcentral
GGAAAAUUACCGGGGCUAAACUAUACACCGAAAUUGCGGAUUUGCAUAGAAAUAUGUAAGUGGUAGAGGAGCAUUCUAUAGUAGGACGAAGCAUAAUCGAAAGGAUAUGUGGACGAGAUAGAAGAGAGAAUGCCGGAAUAAGUAGCGAAAGCAUGGUGAGAAUCCAUGCCAUCGAAAGUCUAAGGUUUCCUGGGGAAGGUUCGUCCGCCCAGGGUAAGUCGGGACCUAAGGAGAGGCCGAAAAGCGUAUCCGAUGGACAGCAGGUAGAAAUUCCUGCACUACGUAAUACUUAAAAGACAUAAAUGACACAGGAGUGGAAGAUAAGCGAGGAAGAGGAAAGACUCGUAUCGAAAGAUAUAGUGAAAAUUAAAGUAACGAAUUAUCAAGAAGCUAAUGGCGAGAAAAGUUUAUGGAUAUUGUAUUAAGUACCCGUACCGCAAACCGACACAGGUAGAUGAGGAGAAGAUCCUAAGAUGAGCGAGAGAAGCAUUGUUAAGGAACUCGGCAAACUGACCCCGUAACUUCGGAAUAAGGGGUGCUGGAGUAAAAUCCAGUCGCAGAGAAUAGUCCCAAGCAACUGUUUAACAAAAACACAGGUUUCUGCUAAAUCGAAAGAUGAAGUAUAGGAGCUGACACCUGCCCAGUGCUGGAAGGUUAAGGGAAAGAGUUAGACGCAAGUCGAAGCUUAGAACUAAAGCCCCAGUGAACGGCGGCCGUAACUAUAACGGUCCUAAGGUAGCGAAAUUCCUUGUCAGGUAAGUUCUGACCCGCACGAAAGGUGUAAUGAUUUGGGAGCUGUCUCGACAAUGUACUCGGCGAAAUUGUAGUACUAGUGAAGAUGCUAGUUACCUGCGACAAGACAGAAAGACCCCAUGGAGCUUUACUGCAGCUUGAUACUGGGUUUCGGUAAUUUAUGUACAGGAUAGGUGGGAUGCUAAGAAGUAUGUGCGCCAGCGCAUAUGGAGCAGACGUUGGGAUACCACCCUUAAAUUACUGGAAUUCUAACUAUAAGUCCUAAGCGGGCUUGAGGACAAUGUCAGGCGGGCAGUUUGACUGGGGCGGUCGCCUCCUAAAGAGUAACGGAGGCGCGCAAAGGUUUCCUCAGCGCGGACAGAAAUCGCGCGAAAGAGUGCAAAGGCAGAAGGAAGCUUAACUGAGAGACAGACAUGUCGACCAGAUACGAAAGUAGGUCUUAGUGAUCCGGUGGUUGUAAGUGGAAAUGCCA